UGGGGAAUAUUGGACAAUGGGGGGAACCCUGAUCCAGCCAUGCCGCGUGUGUGAAGAAGGCCUUAUGGUUGUAAAGCACUUUAAGCGAGGAGGAGGGUACUGGUAUUAAUACUACCAGGUACUGGACGUUACUCGCAGAAUAAGCACCGGCUAACUCUGUGCCAGCAGCCGCGGUAAUACAGAGGGUGCGAGCGUUAAUCGGAUUUACUGGGCGUAAAGCGUGCGUAGGCGGCUAAUUGAGUCGGAUGUGAAAUCCCCGAGCUUAACUUGGGAAAUGCAUUCGAUACUGGUUAGCUAGAGUGUGGGAGAGGAUGGUAGAGUUCCAGGUGUAGCGGUGAAAUGCGUAGAGAUCUGGAGGAAUACCGAUGGCGAAGGCAGCCAUCUGGCCUAACACUGACGCUGAGGUACGAAAGCAUGGGGAGCAAACAGG
This 430-nucleotide ribosomal RNA is filed under the name Pseudomonadota bacterium. Its description in RNAcentral is "Proteobacteria bacterium partial 16S ribosomal RNA". It matches the Rfam family "Bacterial small subunit ribosomal RNA", at positions 355 to 776 of the family's 1533-position model. Lineage: Bacteria; Pseudomonadati; Pseudomonadota. The record is from RNAcentral.